RNAcentral lists this ribosomal RNA (643 nucleotides) under uncultured bacterium. Its description in RNAcentral is "bacterial SSU rRNA". It matches the Rfam family "Bacterial small subunit ribosomal RNA", at positions 202 to 849 of the family's 1533-position model. The record is from RNAcentral.
UAAAGAAUUUCGGUAUGGGAUGGGGAUGCGUUCCAUUAGUUAGUUGGCGGGGUAACGGCCCACCAAGACAACGAUGGAUAGGGGUUCUGAGAGGAAGGUCCCCCACAUUGGAACUGAGACACGGUCCAAACUCCUACGGGAGGCAGCAGUGAGGAAUAUUGGUCAAUGGACGAGAGUCUGAACCAGCCAAGUAGCGUGAAGGAUGACUGCCCUAUGGGUUGUAAACUUCUUUUAUAUGGGAAUAAAACGUUUCACGUGUGGGAUUUUGUAUGUACCAUAUGAAUAAGGAUCGGCUAACUCCGUGCCAGCAGCCGCGGUAAUACGGAGGAUCCGAGCGUUAUCCGGAUUUAUUGGGUUUAAAGGGAGCGUAGGUGGAUUGUUAAGUCAGUUGUGAAAGUUUGCGGCUCAACCGUAAAAUUGCAGUUGAAACUGGCAGUCUUGAGUACAGUAGAGGUGGGCGGAAUUCGUGGUGUAGCGGUGAAAUGCUUAGAUAUCACGAAGAACUCCGAUUGCGAAGGCAGCUCACUGGACUGCAACUGACACUGAGGCUCGAAAGUGUGGGUAUCAAACAGGAUUAGAUACCCUGGUAGUCCACACAGUAAACGAUGAAUACUCGCUGUUUGCGAUAUACGGCAAGCGGCCA